AGACACAGCCCACUGAUUCCCACCACAGGGCUCUUACACCUGCUGUUUCUUCUCCAAAAUUGCUCUUCAGUGAAGGAACUGAGGUCAAGAGACAAAAUGAACUGCCCAGGAUCACACAGAUGAGGCGGCAGGGAUUCAUGCCUGGCUGUUCGUGACAUCAGGAGGAAAGGUGCUUUGUGAAAGUCUAAACAAGGACAGGCCACCUCUGGGAUCAGCAAACGACAAUGCACCUCCCGUCAAGCCUCUCUCGCGGCCUCAUGGAGACCUAAUUCACUUACCACUCAGUUCACCCAUUUGGAGUGUAUAUGUCCGUGGAUUUUAGUAUAUUCACAGAGCUGUGCUACCAUCACCACAAUCAGUUUUGGAACUUUUUGCCGCCCCAAAGGAAACCCCAUGUGCUUCAGCCAUCACCCCCGGC
Long non-coding RNA from Neogale vison (American mink), 418 nucleotides. RefSeq lists it as uncharacterized. The transcript has 3 exons. The record is from RefSeq and is a predicted model, not a curated record. Lineage: Eukaryota; Metazoa; Chordata; Mammalia; Carnivora; Mustelidae.